UCUGACGUAUCCGCAUGCCUUUAUCACUCGAUAUUUAAGAUUAAAAUAAAAAAAUGUGUGGAUAAAAACAUUUAUACUAAAACUUAACGAUUAAUAGUUGAAGUCAAAACAAUUUUUUAAAAAUUAUUGAUAACGCAUUCAAAAUUUUUAAAAUAUCGUGACUAGUAAAUGGAUACAUGUUUAAAAUAAAAGUUUCUAUCGUUAAAUGCUAUUAUAAUCGAUGUAAUCAAUUGCAGUUGUAUGAUCUAACCGCGUGAUUAUCAGCUGAACAGUUCGUUAUUUAAAAUUUUAAAUUUUAAAUUGAGAUAAAUUACCUGCGGAAUAGACGGUUGAAAAAACUCUCAGGUGGUAUUUAUAGUUGACAAUAUCUAUCGAAUGACUGAUUGCGUUUUAGAUUACAUCUAUGAGACGUUCAAGUGUUCGAACUCCAUUAACUCAGUCAGUUAAUCUACGGAGGAGCGGAAAUUUCUUCGAGUUUCCUAGUUAACGGAUGCCCUUUCUCUUUUAAAAAGUCAACUAUGGCGCAUGCGCUCUUAAAUAUACAUGUAUGAUGCAAAUAUAACCAUAUACCGACACAUACAAAUGUACAGCAUCGGAUGGGAGACAGCGUAGCUCGUACUGGGAGUCAAGAUUGAGGGGAAGUUCCAAGAUAAUGGAAUCCGAGUUAAUAAAAUUACAGUCGAACCUCGUUAUAAGACUAUCUGCUGUCUUUUUUAUAAACCAGGUAUCACGAUAGUUUGAGAGAGAAACUACUAGUCUUAUAACGAGGUCCUACUGUACUUAAAAAAUUAUAAAUCUUUGACUGAUCAUUGAA
Molecule: long non-coding RNA, 814 nt
Organism: Microplitis mediator
Lineage: Eukaryota; Metazoa; Arthropoda; Insecta; Hymenoptera; Braconidae
Exons: 3
Source: RefSeq, a predicted model, not a curated record